Molecule: ribosomal RNA, 601 nt
Filed under: uncultured bacterium
Lineage: Bacteria
Description: bacterial SSU rRNA
Rfam family: Bacterial small subunit ribosomal RNA
Source: RNAcentral
CUCCUACGGGAGGCUGCAGUUAGGAAUUUUGGGCAAUGGGCGAAAGCCUGACCCAGCAACGCCGCGUGGGUGAAGAAGGCCUUCGGGUCGUAAAGCCCUUUUCCAGGGGAAGAUGAUGACGGUACCCUGGGAAUCAGCCCCGGCUAACUACGUGCCAGCAGCCGCGGUAAUACGUAGGGGGCAAGCGUUGUCCGGAUUUAUUGGGCGUAAAGCGCUCGCAGGUGGUUCAUUGCGUCGUGCGUGAAAGCCCCCGGCUCAAUUGGGGAGUGUCGUGCGAAACGGGUGAACUAGAGGCCAGUAGGGGGAUGCGGAAUUCCGGGUGUAGUGGUGGAAUGCGUAGAGAUCCGGAGGAACACCAGCGGCGAAGGCGGCAUCCUGGACUGGUCCUGACACUCAGGAGCGAAAGCGUGGGGAGCGAUCCGGAUUAGAUACCCGGGUAGUCCACGCUGUAAACGAUGAGUACUAGGUGUUGGGGGUAUCGACCCCCUCAGUGCCGAAGCUAACGCGAUAAGUACUCCGCCUGGGGACUACGGCCGCAAGGCUAAAACUCAAAGGAAUUGACGGGGGCCCGCACAAGCAGCGGAGCGUGUGGUUUAAUUCG